UACGUAGGUGGCAAGCGUUGUCCGGAAUUAUUGGGCGUAAAGCGCGCGCAGGCGGUCCUUUAAGUCUGAUGUGAAAGCCCUCGGCUCAACCGAGGAGGGUCAUUGGAAACUGGAGGACUUGAGUGCAGAAGAGGAAAGUGGAAUUCCAAGUGUAGCGGUGAAGUGCGUAGAGAUUUGGAGGAACACCAGUGGCGAAGGCGACUUUCUGGUCUGUAACUGACGCUGAGGCGCGAAAGCGUGGGGAGCAAACGGG
RNAcentral lists this ribosomal RNA (253 nucleotides) under uncultured bacterium. RNAcentral's name for it is "partial 16S ribosomal RNA". It matches the Rfam family "Bacterial small subunit ribosomal RNA", at positions 524 to 776 of the family's 1533-position model. The record is from RNAcentral.